AUAGAAAUAAAUUUCUAAACUGUAAGGCUUUAACUAGUAUCAAAUGUCUAAAAUAAGAUAAUUCUCUGAUUAUAAUGACCUCAAGGGCCUAAAUUAAUAUUGAUCCAAAACUACAACAGCCAUACUUAUGUACACAUUGUAAAAGGUCUUCACGAAAUGAGAAACAUAAACCACCAGAACCAGUAUCACUUUCAGGAACUAAUUUAACUUUUUCAUUGGUUUGUUG
RNAcentral lists this unclassified non-coding RNA (226 nucleotides) under Hevea brasiliensis (rubber tree). The record is from RNAcentral. Lineage: Eukaryota; Viridiplantae; Streptophyta; Magnoliopsida; Malpighiales; Euphorbiaceae.